GGUGCCGUUAGGGUAAAACAAGUUUUACAGCCGAGGAGGUAUCAGCAACCACAACAUUAUCCCAUCCUUUCGCCUCCAAACCCCCACUCUUCUCAGACCCAAAAUCACUUCUGUUCUUUCUCUCCUCUCACCACUCGACUUUAUAACCAAACCAUUCCUUUUCCGCUAUUUAACCAAAAUCCAAUCUUGAACACAAACCAAUUCGUGGGUUUUCCGGGAAAGCAAUUGGGUUUUUGUUUGAAAGGAAGUUAAGGGUUUUGUGAAUGCAAAAGAGGAUGGCGUUGAUGAAGCUGAGGAGCAGAGUAGUUGGAGAGAACUAUGCCGGAGCGGUUUAGGUACUUGACCUAAGAAGCUCCUGACCCUCCUCUGAGGUGGCCUUGGUUUCUGGGUAAAAUGCUUCACUGUCUUUGUCUAUCUUUGUCUAUUUUGAAGAAUUUGCAGGUCCGCUGAGCACAACAGCCGGGUUCAACUCAUCCGAUGCUUCGAUCUAUGUAACCAUGAAGCAAGGGGUUAUGAGGAACUAAGGAAGGCUGCGGGAACCAGCAGGUCAUUAAAAGGGAAAUGUCUGGGCAGAAAUGGUACAUGGGGAACUGACAGAAAAGAAGAUGGGUAUUCCUAAGAAGAAGCUACAUUAUGAGAAGACUACUGUUUUUCAAACCAUUUGAAUAUUUGACGGAUUUGAGAGAUUUCUACUAUACUUCUGAUCCAUAAAUAAGGGCAUUAUUAGUAUGCAAAUUAAUCAAGAAGACUAGUGUAAGAGGUAUUUGGUUGUAUAUCACCGGCAACAUAUGUCGCCUAAUGAGAGAUAGAUAGGACCCUCUUUGAUUGUUGGUUAAUAGGCAACUUUAGGUGACACUGAUUGACAAUUUAAACUAAGUAUUUCUCAUUUGCAGCUGAGGAGUUACAUAAUAGAGAGAUAGCAUGGGUUGAGCGAAUACUAUAUUGGGGAAGAUGCAGCUGAGGAGUUACAUACUAUUUUUCAAAUUGAUGUAGAUGGUAUGUUACGUAUCUCAUGUCACAUUAGCCAUAUGUUCUUUGCUUGUAGCUUUGCACUGAAGUUCCUGUGCUGGAGUUGAACAUAAUAUUAGUUUCUAAUGACCCAUAUUGUGGUUGGAUUGAAGGUUCUUUGUAUAAAUGGAAUACUUGUGUACUAUUUUCUCAUAUAUAGGUAUUGUGUUGUAUCCAUUUGCCUUUUCGGCUGUAUAUAACAGGUAGAAUCUGAUUCAG
This 1227-nucleotide long non-coding RNA is filed under the name Rosa chinensis. RNAcentral's name for it is "sRNA RchiOBHm_Chr5g0079431". The record is from RNAcentral. Lineage: Eukaryota; Viridiplantae; Streptophyta; Magnoliopsida; Rosales; Rosaceae.